CAGCUGCUUGAAACAGAGUAAUUUGACAUAGUAGGUCAGCCACUGGUCACAGGUGGGACUAUUUGGGAGGCAUAGUGUCCUACCUUGGAGUAAAAAUGAAUGAAAUGAAUGCUCAAACUGGUACAGGGUGGGAGAUGUGUGAGACCUCCCUGUUUGGGUAUCACUGAGAUAUUUUAUCGGUGUUACUGAAUGUGGAAGUGUCCUCUGAGAUUGCAGUGAGUCCAGGAUGCCAGUGCAAGGGAGCCCUUCACCACUUGCGUUGACUGACUGUGCCAGGUCUUCAGUGUGUUGGUGCUGGGGUGUCUUCAUGCAGCCACAUGGUUCUCUGGAUCAGUAGGUUGACCCAGGUGAAAGUGGAUGAACAGGAUCUUGUAGCUGGCAAGACAGAAACCCAUGGCUAAGUAACUUGGAAGCCAAAGACUGGGAUACCAACCAUCCUGCAUGUGGAACUUGGCAGUUCCUCAGAAAGGCAGUUAUUAAGAGUUUGAAAAUAAAAAGGAACAUAAACAUACGAUUCCAAGAAUGGUGAUGCAUGUCUUCUAAUAAUCAAAUUCCUUUGAAGUGUUUCAGUUUUAAUACCCAAAUCACUAACUUUGCAAAAAUCUGGUAUCUGCCUCUUCUCCUAGGCUCUUCAGGUGAAUGAGUACAGGGAUCUCUACUUCUGUGGUGAGAAGAAUUCAAAUGCUACAGUGUUUGUGGGAGGUACAGGCAGUUGUCCCCCCAAUAUUUCAGAAGAAAUGUGUUCUGGUGAAGCAUACCUGUGCAGCCAGGGAAUCGCACCGACCAGCUGGGCAAUGUGGGAAAACAUAGUGGCUCUCUUCUGCAUGACUGUUAUCUUCCUUAUCAUUGCCUAUGCAAAACUCCGGUUUAUGAGAAAGUUCACAUAGAAUCCUGCGUUGCUUUGGUCUGCAGCUUCUCAGGUCUUAAAACCGCAAAGCCUGUUAGGGCCCACUGGAGAUUGCCAGAAUAUUUCAGCUAAGUUUACUGGACUUCAGAUGGGAACCCUGUCCUCCUGUUUCUGGAGUAUGAUCUCCUUAGGAUUGUAUGAUUGUGGUUUGUAAGAAGACAUGCAUUAAUGUACGCUGCGUAAGUGAUUUUUUCUAAGACAAUAUAACUCUCCUAAUUCCUUAGGUAUAUAUCAAACUAUAUAUUGUAAAGCAUUAUUAUUCUGUGGCCAGCUUAUACUGGAAAUAUUCCUUUGAACAUGUGAGCUUCUCCAUCACGAAAGGUAUAAGGUGAUGGUGGCAUUUAUGCAUUGCUAGUGCCUGUCACAUCUGAGGAGAGCUAGAGACCAUUCCCAGUGUUUUGGAGAUGCAUUUGAAUUUGAAGUGAGUAUGGGGUAUGAGCUGUCCUUGCCAAGCAAGAAUAUUUAUACUUUUGGUAGCUUCUCAGUGGAAGCUACUUGCAGAAACAACUUUUGCUUCAUUAAAAACUAAACAGCAGUGGUGUAACACAUCUCAUCUAAGAAGAGUGAGAAAUAUAUACUGCUGUACUGUAAAAAAAAAAACCCACAUCACACCAAACAACUUUCCCCCCUCUGACCAACAGCAAAAAAUAUAUUUACUACUUAAAAGGAGAGGAAAUUACCUUUUUCUUUAUUUUUUUAAAUAAAAAUUUGUAUACUUAGCACUGGCAGAGUUUUUUAACAAUAGACAAUGUUUAGCUGCACAAUCUAUGUAUAUAGUGCCAGUUACACUGUGGAACUGAAGAAAAACACAUAGACAUUGCUGUGGCAAACUACAGCGACAUCUACCGCAGUCCCCACAGGACAAACUGUAGCGUGCCAGCAGCUGUCUCCACACCAUCAUCAGCAACAACAGAGAUUAAGUUGCAUUAAGACCCACAGAUGCAAGUGGACCAGCAAACGCCAAAGGAAGAUAUCCUCAAACACAGGACUAGAGAGUUCUCCUGUGAGGGCCGGGCUGAAAGCAGCCCCUGGAACCGGCCUGCGGUGUGAAAGUGCUGCUGUGCCCCAGCAGUGAUCGGUGCGGUUGUGGUGUUAAAGGGACAAUGAUCGCACCGCCGGCGCAGCCUCGUCGAGCACGAACCACGCCCUCUCUGAGGAUCCUGCUGUUGAAACCGCGGAGGAAGCGAAGGAACCAGCGGAGGCAGACAUCAAUGAACUCUGUAAAGACAUGUUCAGCAAAAUGGCCACUUACUUAACAGGUGAACUGA
Molecule: long non-coding RNA, 2175 nt
Organism: Corapipo altera (White-ruffed manakin)
Lineage: Eukaryota; Metazoa; Chordata; Aves; Passeriformes; Pipridae
Exons: 3
Source: RefSeq, a predicted model, not a curated record